UACGGAGGGUGCAAGCGUUGUCCGGAUUUAUUGGGUUUAAAGCGCGUGUAGGCGGUUGUCCAAGUUGGAUGUGAAAGCCUUGAGCUUAACUCAAGAAAUGCAUUCAGGACUGGAUGACUAGAGGACCGGAGAGGAUAGUGGAAUUCCCAGUGUAGUGGUGAAAUACGUAGAGAUUGGGAAGAACACCAGUGGCGAAGGCGGCUAUCUGGACGGUUUCUGACGCUAAGACGCGAAAGCGUGGGGAGCAAACAGG
RNAcentral lists this ribosomal RNA (253 nucleotides) under uncultured bacterium. Its description in RNAcentral is "partial 16S ribosomal RNA". It matches the Rfam family "Bacterial small subunit ribosomal RNA", at positions 524 to 776 of the family's 1533-position model. The record is from RNAcentral.